CUCAAGGGAGGUACAGAAGAGGAUUCGAUGACGUCAGCUGUCAGAAAAAAAGUUGUUGACGUAAUCGAUUGAGCGAUCUGUUGAAGGUGGAAUAUCGUACUCGUACUAAGUUUAUCACUAUCGUAUCGUUUCGACUUUCGUUAUUGUAUGGCUGUCGGCUGCCGUUUGUUUAUGUUUAUGUGCUUUCCUCAUCACUCUCCUCCUUCACUUCAACUAAGUUACUAAGUUUAAGUUUACUAUUUAUUUAUAGGCCUACAUACAGUUUAAAGUUAAAGGGCAAAAAGUGCUGCUGUCGCAACCAUCAAUGAUUAGGAUUGGAGUGGACGAAGAAACAUUUAUUUCCAUUUUAUUUGAUUUUAAAAGUUUUUGUAAUUUCUUUACAUAAUUUGGUUUUAACUUGCAUAGAAUAUAAUAAAUAGUUUUGUCUAAA
Macrosteles quadrilineatus (aster leafhopper) is the source of this 430-nucleotide long non-coding RNA. RefSeq lists it as uncharacterized. Lineage: Eukaryota; Metazoa; Arthropoda; Insecta; Hemiptera; Cicadellidae. The transcript has 2 exons. The record is from RefSeq and is a predicted model, not a curated record.